RNAcentral lists this ribosomal RNA (433 nucleotides) under uncultured bacterium. Its description in RNAcentral is "partial 16S ribosomal RNA". It matches the Rfam family "Bacterial small subunit ribosomal RNA", at positions 29 to 507 of the family's 1533-position model. The record is from RNAcentral.
AACGAACGCUGGCGGCAUGCCUAACACAUGCAAGUCGAACGAGACCUUCGGGUCUAGUGGCGCACGGGGGCGUAACGCGUGGGAACCUGCCCUUAGGUUAGGAAUAACUGCCCGAAAGGGGUGCUAAUACCGGUUAAUGUCUUCGGGGCAACGAUUUAUCGCCUUUGGAUGGGCGCGGGUUGGCUUAGCUAGUUGGUAGGGUAAAAGCAUACCAAGGCGACGAUCCAUAGCUGGUGUGUUAGGAUGAUCAGUCAGACUGGGACUGCGACACGGCCCAGUCUCCUACGGGAGGCAGCAGUGGGGAAUAUUAGACAAUGGACGAAAGCGUAACCAAGCAAUGCCGCGUGAGUGGUGCAGGCCUUAGUGUUGUAAAUCUCUUUUACCCGGGAUGAUAGUGACAGUACCGGGAGAAUAAGCACCGGCUAACUCCGUG